This 140-nucleotide non-coding RNA is filed under the name Bacilliculturomica massiliensis. RNAcentral describes it as "FMN riboswitch (RFN element)". It matches the Rfam family "FMN riboswitch aptamer (RFN element)". From Rfam's summary of the family: The RFN element is a highly conserved domain that is found frequently in the 5'-untranslated regions of prokaryotic mRNAs that encode for flavin mononucleotide (FMN) biosynthesis and transport proteins. This element is a metabolite-dependent riboswitch that directly binds FMN in the absence of proteins. In Bacillus subtilis, the riboswitch most likely controls gene expression by causing premature transcription termination within the 5' untranslated region of the ribDEAHT operon and precluding access to the ribosome-binding site of ypaA mRNA. Lineage: Bacteria; Bacillati; Bacillota; Clostridia; Peptostreptococcales; Anaerovoracaceae. The record is from RNAcentral.
GUUUCAGGGCGAGGUGAAAUUCCUCACCGGCGGUAAUCAGCGAGAAGCGCGCAGGAUGCGCUUUGAAGCUGCGAGUCCGCGAGCCGAAAGGCAGAAUCGGUUAGAUCCCGAUACCGACGGUAUAGUCCGGAUGGAAGAAA